RNAcentral lists this ribosomal RNA (301 nucleotides) under uncultured bacterium. RNAcentral's name for it is "partial 16S ribosomal RNA". It matches the Rfam family "Bacterial small subunit ribosomal RNA", at positions 509 to 807 of the family's 1533-position model. The record is from RNAcentral.
CAGUAGCCGCGGUAAUACGAGGGGGGCAAGCGUUGUUCGGAAUUAUUGGGCGUAAAGGGUGCGUAGGCGGUUUCGUAAGUCUUAUGUGAAAUCUACGGGCUCAACCCAUAGUCUGCAUGGGAAACUGCGAGGCUUGAGGAUGGGAGAGGUGAGUGGAAUUUCCGGUGUAGCGGUGAAAUGCGUAGAUAUCAGAAGGAACACCUGUGGCGAAAGCGGCUCACUGGACCAUUUCUGACGCUGAUGCACGAAAGCUAGGGGAGCAAACAGGAUUAGAUACCCCCGUAGUCCCUGUCUCUUAUAC